This is a small nucleolar RNA of Talpa occidentalis (Iberian mole), 165 nucleotides long. Lineage: Eukaryota; Metazoa; Chordata; Mammalia; Eulipotyphla; Talpidae. The record is from RefSeq and is a predicted model, not a curated record.
UGUGUACGUUGUUUUGUCAUCAAGAGUGGAAGCUCCCCCCUCCCGACCCCCCACAAAAUGAACUUGCAAGUGCAGGAAGUGUUCCACAAGGGGCAAGUUUUUCAAUAUCACCACAAGGGUCUCUGGCCCGGUGACUGGAGUUGGAUAACAAUCCUUGCUACAAGU